RNAcentral lists this non-coding RNA (46 nucleotides) under Schistosoma mattheei. Lineage: Eukaryota; Metazoa; Platyhelminthes; Trematoda; Strigeidida; Schistosomatidae. The record is from RNAcentral.
AUUCAGCUGAGGAGUCCCAAAGUAGGACGAAACGCCCCUCCUGGAU